This 497-nucleotide ribosomal RNA is filed under the name uncultured bacterium. RNAcentral's name for it is "partial 16S ribosomal RNA". It matches the Rfam family "Bacterial small subunit ribosomal RNA", at positions 28 to 507 of the family's 1533-position model. The record is from RNAcentral.
GACGAACGCUGGCGGCGUGCCUAAUACAUGCAAGUAGAACGCUGAAGAGAGGAGCUUGCUCUUCUUGGAUGAGUUGCGAACGGAUGAGUAACGCGUAGGUAACCUGCCUUGUAGCGGGGGAUAACUAUUGGAAACGAUAGCUAAUACCGCAUAACAAUGGAUGACACAUGUCAUUUAUUUGAAAGGGGCAAUUGCUCCACUACAAGAUGGACCUGCGUUGUAUUAGCUAGUAGGUGAGGUAAUGGCUCACCUAGGCGACGAUACAUAGCCGACCUGAGAGGGUGAUCGGCCACACUGGGACUGGGACACCGCCCAGACUCCUACGGGAGGCAGCAGUAGGGAAUCUUCGGCAAUGGGGGCAACCCUGACCGAGCAACGCCGCGUGAGUGAAGAAGGUUUUCGGAUCGUAAAGCUCUGUUGUAAGUCAAGAACGGGUGUGAGAGUGGAAAGUUCACACUGUGACGGUAGCUUACCAGAAAGGGACGGCUAACUACGUG